This is a non-coding RNA of Anas platyrhynchos (mallard), 3071 nucleotides long. Lineage: Eukaryota; Metazoa; Chordata; Aves; Anseriformes; Anatidae. The record is from RefSeq and is a predicted model, not a curated record.
AGAAAACAGGGUAAGGGCGCUCAGGUGUGAAAGGGUACAUGUUUUCAUGAGGGUACUUAAGACAGAAGGUUCCUAACCUACCCUCCUUGAGCAGUCUAGAAAAAGAUUUUAGUAGCAAAGGAGGAGUGCCCCACACUGCAGGCCUGCAGCCUCCCCAGCCCUCAGGAGCCGCCCGAUGGAAGGUGCUGGAAGCUGGCCGGGCUCUGUGGUGAGGCAGUGCCGUGUGCACGGCCCUCACAGGGACGAGACGGAGGGCAAGGCGCUGUUCUCCGUGAGGUGCUCUUCAGGACAUGGGCAUGAAGAAAGUCCUUCUGAGCUGCUGGUCUCACAGAAAUCUGAAUUUUCCAGCUCAUAUUCCAUGAAGAGCUUUGAUUAAAAGAAAAAGAUACAACGUGCACCACAAACUGUUUCCCGCUGCUUCAGUAGUUGCCUUCUUGACUGCAAACUAUUCUCAAGAACUACAUGAGAACUGAUAUGCUGUAACACCGACAUCUCCACGCCUGCCCAGUCUGGGAGCACAGUGCUAACCUGCAGAGCCACAAAACCAAGGCCUUCUUUCAUGGUGCUGUCAACUUCUGCUGGUAGGUUCCACUCAGUUUCAACAUAAAGCAAAAUCACGCACUCGAAAGUGGAAGUUAUUACCUCAUACUGGUGUAAUUCAACAGGAAGCCAGAAAACUUCCUUCAAGGUAGAGGAUUUGGCGUGUGAACUCCAGACACGGACUGCAUGCUCAACUUGCUGCUGCUGCUCCACCCAGCAUGUGCAUGUGAAGCCGACCAUAUCUAAAGCUAUGGCAAGGAAACUACAUGGGUGUGGUCCCAGCUAAGCCCAGCCACGUCUCUGCAGGGUGCUGACUGCUCCGGGAGGAGGAAAGCAUGAAACAGGAACAACAGUUCUGUGUCCUUUGCAUGAGUAACAGAUGUGUUGAAAGAGCUGCAAGAGACCAAGGGAACCCUUAUCUCAUCUGCAUAUGGUGUUCACAAAGGGCCUGCUGGAAGAUCCAAGUCCAGUCUGCACUCAUGAAGCACCUGCUCUGCAGGAAUCCCGAGGUCUUUUUCUGUGAACUUUCCCUCUAGAUAGGUGGAUCCCUUCCCUAUACCAUCACAUGGACUAACUCUGUUUCAGAGGAAUUCAUCUUAGCCCCAGAUCCUGCAAGCUGAGAUAUUUAUACAGCCUAAACCCAGAGUCUCUGAGGAGCAACUAGGAUUACCAAACCAUUAAAUUUUGGAUGAGCAGGCCUAUUAAACACAGAAUAGAGACUGAACCCAAAACUCGAAGCUGAUGGUGUUUUCUGAAAUGGCCACGUACCAGCUGCAGUGCUGUUGGUAUGUGUUCUGCUGUUGGUUUGAAGGGAGUAGGAUGUGACCUGUGGUACCGUUCAUGGUAGGGCAUUGCAAGCAUGCUACCAUUUAGGGAUCUACUCAUUCUCUAAUAUGCACCCUGAAAAUGCUGCAACACUGUUUAUUGUCUUUAUUAAGGUUGUGCCUGGUUUAUGCUAAUUUUGAUAGAGGAAAGACCAUGUUCUGUAUCACUUAUGCAUAUUUAUGCAUAAGGCACUAUUUUCGGGAUGCAUCAGGACCCUAGGUGCCCCAAGAGGCUCCGAUUGCCCCAAGCAGCCGUGUCUGGGGGUGGCACCCUCUGCCCCUGGCUGGACCCUGCAUUUGUGCCCCAGCGUUUGCCCUUCCACCUGAGCCGUGCAGUGCCUGUGCUCGGCUGGCUGCAUGUCCUCAUCCCUGCCUUGGCUCCCAGCUGGGCCUCAGCCCUGCUCCCCACUGCACCUGGGUCUGGAGGCCUCAGGGCCCUGGCCAGCCCUGGUCGCUGUCCCAGCUCUGGAUUUCUUGCCCGGUGGGUGCCCGCUGCUGCUCCAGCCUCCCUGCCCCACAGGACACCCCCACACACACACACCCAGGACCCCUGAGGGUUUGCUGGAUGCUGAUGGGCUUGUUCUGUAUUUUCUCUACACGUUCACACAGAAUGAAAGUAUCUGUAUUUUGGUACCUGAAUAGAAACUGGGUCAUUCUGGGCUUCUGCGUUUUUUGUUCCCUGUGCUAUGAAUAAUUCUUAAUCAGGACAUGGCUCGCAGUAGAGCAAGGAGGGAGAAGCUGGAAACAGAGCUCUUUUGGCUUCAGAUAGUACUGUUAAAUGCCUGGGUGUUUGGAAAUGAACAUUUGGCUUGUGCAUUGUCUCAUUGUUCUUCCUUGUAACCAGUCUCUCUCCUCCCCUCUUGGAAUAAUUUAAAUUUUUUUAUUUUUGUUUUUCCAUCCAGUUUUCUUUCUCCUUUUUUUUUUAAAAAAAUUAUUUAUUUAUUUAUUUUUAAUGAGAGCUGGUGCAGUAUAUCUUAAAAUACUUGAAGCAAUGAUGAAUCCCACUUUAAAGAACUCACAGGGGUCUCCCUCAGGGGGCCCAGCUGCUUGUGAAAGGCACAGAGCCUCUAAGCAGAUGUUGCUGCUCCUCCAGCAAUAUGCAUUAAUAUCAGGAAAUGUAUUCCCUUCUGGUUUCCUCCUUAAGGCAACUGUUAGUGAGUAAGGUGCCUUUGCCCUGUGAGCUGGUCAAUUUGCUAAUCUGAGCUGAUUAGAUGACAAACACAUGUGCAGUGUUGCAUUCGGGAGUAAUAUGGCCCAGCUGGGUAUGAUGCACUUUUCAUCUAAGCAGGGCUUAGCCUGAAAUCUUAUUUGUCUUGUAUUUUAAUGCGGUGUCACCAAGAUAAUUACAGAGCAGAUCGUUUCCUGCUUGGCUUGAGGUGAGCAAACAGUAACAGUCUUUAUUAACCAAACCCAAGAGGUGAAUGCUGACACAAGGGAAGCUGAAUGGACUCAAUCAACACACAAGGAGAAGAUGGGUGCAGCUGUGAGAGACCUGCAGUCUGCUGCUGAAGGACUGGAUGAAAUCAACAUCGUUAAGGGGCUGAUCUCUGCAAAAGCUUCAUAGACUCUGCAAUGUAAGGAGGUUGUGCAGAUGGAAGGUGUUUUAUAUGUACCUCACAAUAAUUUUUUUGGUAAAACAAGCAGCCUCUUGUUACUCCUUCAUGAAAUAAAAAUGUGCUGGUGCCUGUUAUCCAUUUUUGACCUUAA